RNAcentral lists this ribosomal RNA (663 nucleotides) under Mycoplasmopsis bovigenitalium. Its description in RNAcentral is "bacterial SSU rRNA". It matches the Rfam family "Bacterial small subunit ribosomal RNA", at positions 758 to 1434 of the family's 1533-position model. Lineage: Bacteria; Bacillati; Mycoplasmatota; Mycoplasmoidales; Metamycoplasmataceae. The record is from RNAcentral.
AGCGUGGGGAGCAAACAGGAUUAGAUACCCUGGUAGUCCACGCCCUAAACGUUGAUCAUUAGCUGAUGGGGAACUCAUCGGCGCAGCUAACGCAUUAAAUGAUCCGCCUGAGUAGUACGUUCGCAAGAAUAAAACUUAAAGGAAUUGACGGGGACCCGCACAAGCGGUGGAGCAUGUGGUUUAAUUUGAAGAUACGCGUAGAACCUUACCCACUCUUGACAUCUUCUGCAAAGCUAUAGAGAUAUAGUCGAGGUUAACAGAAUGACAGAUGGUGCAUGGUUGUCGUCAGCUCGUGUCGUGAGAUGUUCGGUUAAGUCCUGCAACGAGCGCAACCCUUAUCCUUAGUUACUAACAUUCAGUUGAGCACUCUAGGGAGACUGCCCGAGUAAUCGGGAGGAAGGUGGGGACGACGUCAAAUCAUCAUGCCUCUUACGAGUGGGGCCACACACGUGCUACAAUGGCCGGUACAAAGUGAAGCAACCUGGUGACAGUGAGCAAACCACAAAAAGCCGGUCUCAGUUCGGAUUGGAGUCUGCAACUCGACUCCAUGAAGUCGGAAUCGCUAGUAAUCGUAGAUCAGCUACGCUACGGUGAAUACGUUCUCGGGUCUUGUACACACCGCCCGUCAAACCAUGGGAGCUGGUAAUGCCCGAAGUCGGUUUA